CCCUUAGAUGCUCUGGGCCGCACGCGCGCUACACUGGUCGAUGCAACGAGUUUCUUUCCUUGGCCGACAGGCCUGGGCAAUCUUUGAACAUCGAUCGUGAUCGGGAUAGAUUCUUGUAAUUUUUGAUCUUAAACGAGGAAUUCCUAGUAAACGCAAGUCAUCAGCUUGCAUUGAUUACGUCCCUGCUCUUUGUACACACCGCCCGUCGCACCUACCGAUUGAAUGGUCCGGUGAAAUCUCCGGACUGGCGUGAGUCGGAGCAAUCUGACAAACACCGGAAAGUUGAUUAAACCUUACCAUUUAGAGGAAGGUGAANUCGUANCA
Molecule: ribosomal RNA, 324 nt
Filed under: uncultured eukaryote
Lineage: Eukaryota
Description: partial 18S ribosomal RNA
Rfam family: Eukaryotic small subunit ribosomal RNA
Source: RNAcentral